This 440-nucleotide ribosomal RNA is filed under the name uncultured bacterium. RNAcentral describes it as "partial 16S ribosomal RNA". It matches the Rfam family "Bacterial small subunit ribosomal RNA", at positions 338 to 795 of the family's 1533-position model. The record is from RNAcentral.
CCUACGGGAGGCAGCAGUGGGGAAUAUUGCACAAUGGGGGGAACCCUGAUGCAGCGACGCCGCGUGAGUGAAGAAGUAUUUCGGUAUGUAAAGCUCUAUCAGCAGGGAAGAAAAUGACGGUACCUGACUAAGAAGCCCCGGCUAACUACGUGCCAGCAGCCGCGGUAAUACGUAGGGGGCAAGCGUUAUCCGGAUUUACUGGGUGUAAAGGGAGCGUAGACGGUUAUGCAAGUCUGAAGUGAAAGCCCAAGGCUCAACCAUGGGACUGCUUUGGACACUGUAAAACUGGAGUGCGGGAGGGGCAGGCGGAAUUCCUGGUGUAGCGGUGAAAGGCGUAGAUAUCAGGAGGAACACCGGCGGCGAAGGCGGCCUGCUGGACCGCGACUGACGUUGAGGCUCGAAAGCGUGGGGAGCGAACAGGAUUAGAUACCCCUGUAGUC